Puntigrus tetrazona (Sumatra barb) is the source of this 661-nucleotide non-coding RNA. Lineage: Eukaryota; Metazoa; Chordata; Actinopteri; Cypriniformes; Cyprinidae. The record is from the annotation of a RefSeq genome assembly.
GGGUGUUUGAAACAGACUGGAUGUUCUCUCUCAAAGAGGCGGGGUUUAAAGCACAGAUAUCUGAUGUGAUCUUCUUAAACUUCAAGUCUCUUAGAGAGAGAAUAAGAAACACACACAAUGUUGCUCCAUUCACUCAUUUUUCUUUCUACCUUUGCAUAUAGAACAUAUGGAAAUGAAAUAAAACCAACUCAAACAGAGGAGUCUGCUGAUGAGGGUUCAAGUGUUAAAUUAUCCUGCAGUUAUUCAUCAGCAUUAACUCUUCACUGGUAUCGUCAGUAUCCAGGAUCAGCUCCUCAGUUCAUCGUACUCAUCUCAGAUGGAAUAAAACAAGCUCAGGAGUCUAAUGUAGAUCCCAGAUUCUCUGCCAAAGUCACCAAAGACAAAGAAAAGCAUGUGUAUCUGGAGAUCUCCUCUGCUGCUGUAUCAGACUCUGCUCUGUAUUACUGUGCUCUGGAGCCCACAGUCACAGGAAACACAAGAACACUGUACACAAACCUGAUGUACUGUGUUUCAUCUACAUUACACUUAACCAACCUCCCUGUAAUCUGCUAGUUACAACAAGGAACAUUCUUCUGUAAAAUCAGCAAAAACAGUAUUACAUACAUGGAUUGUUUUUCAUAGCAUAAAAAAGCAUAACAGAAAAGAAGACAUAUAAAGAUUC